GUGGCUGUAGCUCAGCUGGUAGAGCUCUCGGUUGUGGUCCGAGUGGUCGCAGGUUCGAGCCCUGUCAGCCACCCA
This 75-nucleotide transfer RNA is filed under the name Patescibacteria group bacterium. Its description in RNAcentral is "tRNA-His". It matches the Rfam family "tRNA". Rfam says of the family: Transfer RNA (tRNA) molecules are approximately 80 nucleotides in length. Their secondary structure includes four short double-helical elements and three loops (D, anti-codon, and T loops). The record is from RNAcentral.